This 248-nucleotide ribosomal RNA is filed under the name uncultured bacterium. RNAcentral describes it as "partial 16S ribosomal RNA". It matches the Rfam family "Bacterial small subunit ribosomal RNA", at positions 523 to 769 of the family's 1533-position model. The record is from RNAcentral.
AUACGUAGGGUGCGAGCGUUAAGUCGGAAUUACUGGGCGUAAAGCGUGCGCAGGCGGUUUUGUAAGACAGGCGUGAAAUCCCCGGGCUCAACCUGGGAACUGCGCUUGUGACUGCAAGGCUAGAGUAUGGCAGAGGGGGGUGGAAUUCCACGUGUAGCAGUGAAAUGCGUAGAGAUGUGGAGGAACACCAAUGGCGAAGGCAGCCCCCUGGGCCAAUACUGACGCUCAUGCACGAAAGCGUGGGUAGC